ACAACAGGAGAUAACAUAAACUCCAUUGACGGAACAAGUGAGGUGUACAGAUUACAUGGGCCACCGCUAAACCCAGACAUCACAAACAUUCGGUAAGGGGAUGAACAGGUUACACUCAAGUGUAUAGUAAAAAGAACAAUUCAUAAAACUGUCAGCACCUUCAUGGCGCGCGUCUUCACUUUAUUAUCAAUUUAUCAUAGAGGGCCUUCAUUCACCAAGCAGUCAUGGAUAGACCUCGAUGACCGAUAGAGCGCCAACAACGGGCAGGAUUUUGUAGUCUUUGAAUCCAGCUUCAAUGAAAAUCUUCUUCCACUCUUGCUCGUCGCGCUCAGCUCCAUUAACCGUCAUAAUAUAUAAAUCAAACAUAACUUGUGUCUUUAGAAGCUUUAUGUUUGGCUCCCCAUAUCCAACUACCAUGUCCAAGAUUAUUACCUUCCCUCCUGCAUCCCGUGGAGAUAUCGCUUGCUUGCAUUUCUUUAAUAUCUUGACGCAGUUGUCGUCACUCCAGUCAUGUAAAGUUGUCUGACAUAGGUAAUCAUCAAAUUAAUCGAUAGGUAAUGAAGAAAAGGGUCUUUGGUGUUUGGAUUCAAAGAUAAUAGCACAUUUAUGAUGUGAGAGCCCUUUACUUCUACUCCAUUAGUCCCAAAUUAAGAGUUUGGUCGGCAAUACUAGAACAACUCCGACUUUACACUAAAACGUUAGAAUCACUGCUAAACACAAAUAUUACACGUAGCGUUUCUUUUCAGAAACAAUUCUUCUAUUUGCACUACACAUGUGAAACGGUCCUAGACACUAGUUUCGAAGGAUUGUGUUUUAGUGCUUGCUACACGUAGAGGAGGAUCUAUGCACUAGAAAACUGAAAAAUAAAAAAACAAUGAUUAUAGUUAAAUUUUUAUCAUAUACACAUCCCUAUAAAAAUAUAUACACUUACAAGGUAAGUACACCUUCUCAAAUUUUCUCUAGCUCCACCCUGGCUAUACACUAGCGAAUAUAUUUUUCUUGAAUUGUUAUUUUUAAGUGCAGCAAAUUAUACUAGAUUGUAUUUAAGUUGUUCGUUGUCCACACAAAGUUAGGAAUUUUUUUAAGCUUAUUUUUAUUUGUAUGAUUGUUUAUGUAAAAAGAUUCUGGGAAUAAGAAUGCAAGAUCAUAACCAAAUGAUUUUGUAAAGUCAUUCUGAUUCAUCACCCAAAACGUUUUAUGAGGUAAUCUAGAUCUGAAAUGUUUCUACAAAAAUAAUCUAGAUCCCUAUGAAACACAACCUGAAUUAACUUAUAGAUAGAGUGGUCUUAAGUCAAACUAUUUUAAUCUUAAUCGAAUUUUUUAAAAAAAUGGCAUUAAGUAUUUAUGAUACUAAAUUAGUAUCACUAAAACAUCUUGACAUAUAUUUUCAUAAUAUAAGUGUUUGGUGUCAUAGAAGUCAUUACUUUUUUUUAUAUAAAAUCAGUGAAAUUUAAGAUAGUUUGACUUAAGGUUUUAUGAUACAGUGAGCAUCUCAUGCAUGACAAGAAAAAGGAUAGUCAAAUUUGAGCAGUCAGCACUCAGCAGUGACGGAUGUACCUUGAGAAAAACAGCGGUUGCAGGUGGAAUACUCUGAAACAUGUUUCCUGCGAUGAACUGCACGUUGACAUCGGAUGGAGCACCGGCGACAACGUGUGCAAGGUCAAGCACGCUGCAUUUGAUGUGCGGGAAGGCAGCGGCGAUGGUGGCGGUGGCGCCACCAUGCCCGCCGCCGACGUCGACCAGCGAGUCGAUCCCACGGAACACCUCGCCGCACUCCCUGAUCACGACCGGCAUCAGGAAGCGGCUGUCCGCGACCAUGCCUUUGUUCAGCAAGGCGUUUACGUCGUCAGCGUGCUCCCAGAUCGUCGGCGUUGGCUGCCGGAACGCCAGCGCAUAGGCGGUCGGCUCGUUCUGCUCCUGCCGGAACCACUUGCACAUGCCCUGGGUGUGCGGGGCGACGGCGAUCGGGUGGAGCGCCAGGCUCACGAAGGGCGCCAAGGUCGUCGACGACGAGCUCACCUCGUCGUCGCCGACGAGGAAGCGGGAGGCUGCCGUCAGCCUGUAGACAGCGGCUUCGCCGGACGACGCGUCGACGACGACGCUGGUUGGUGGUUGCUGGACGCUGAAGGUGCCGAAGACGGUGAGCGCGCGCAUGAGGCUGCGUAGGGCGCGAAGCUUGUUUGGGUGGAGCGCAGUCUCGGCGAGGAUCUGGGCGAGGGUGGCGCCGUCGUCGCCGUGGCGGUGGAUCGCGUCGGGGAUGCGGAGGUCCAGCGCCACGGCGAGCGCCAUGGAUUUGGCGAAGCACAGGGACUGGUGCCAGAGCUCGACGUAAGACUGGAGCAAGUCCUGGCUGCUCUCCUGCACGAGUGCCAUCGUGUCCACGUGCACGUAUAGUAUGUAUAUCUAUACGCUGCUGGCUGGCUGGUUAGUUCUGUUUCUCGAUUGCUAGCGCUAGGCAGUUUAUAUAGUGUUCUGCUUGAUGAGGUGCUCUAAUAAAAGUCUAAACAUGUGUUGAUUAUCUUUAUAAAUAGAGGCAGCAGGACAUACCGGGAGCUGCUAGUCCGAUGGAUGGACGGGCCGGCGCCUGCCUCCGAUAGUUUGCCGCCCUCCCAUAGUUUCCCGCCCAAUCAGCGCUAGCGAGGACGAGGAGCACACGGGAAAGAAAGGAAGCCUGCAGUUCCCUGGGCCUCAUGUGGAUAAAUUUUGCCCCCAGCGCUCGUAGUCAUGAGCCGUGCAGGAGCUCGCAACUUUUUCGCCCACAGGAAGAAUGACCCCAAAGAUGGCCCACGCAGGAUGGACAUCACAGCAGCCUGCAUGCAGGUGAUUAUUUUAUUUGCUUGAUUUGCAUGAGGUGAUGCCAUAUGUUUUUACAAACAAAAAAGUCGUAUGUUUUAGGUUCAGAGAACAAUGUUCUAUAUUGGUAAGAAAAAUAUUCUCGGUUUAGAAGAACAAUGUUCAGUUUAAAUACAUGAUAUUGGUAUUAUAACCCUGGACUCUCCCAACUUUUAGAAAGCGACAGAAAGAGAGAGUUUAACAGAAGAGAAAAGGAGCACCGCGUCACAGUUCCAACAAUUACACAACCAACCAACCAAUAGUACAAAAGCUUCAAGAAAACCGAUCUUUAAGUUUCUUAAGAGAACUUCAGAUCUCUUCAAGUGGAAGGAUCUCCCUGUCCAUCUAAAUCCCCAUCUGGCAGCAGUCUUGACGUCUCGGCAUCCUUCUUCUGACGCUUCAGGAUCUGGUUUGCAAUCUGUAACAUGGUGUUCACUCUAUCUUCAAGUUGCUCCUUGUCAGCUUCACAGUAAAGACCUGCCCAGUAUUUCAUUAGAGCACAUAUAUGGUAUAUGAUUUGCAUAGGGUCCUUGAUGAUGGUUUUCUCAAAACAUGCUUUGUUUCGCGCUUUCCAGAUGGCCCAGCACACCGCUGCAAUCCCACAUAAAUGAAAUUUCCUGCCAAAUGGUAACCAUUUCUCACACCAAUUCCAACUUUGAUCAAGAUUCCUUGGAAUAUUUUUUGCUCCAAAGCAUCAUUAACAAGGAUAAAUAUAUAGAACAAAUAAAAAGUAAAUAACUUAAAUAAGGGUGGAAAAAAGGGAACAAUAACAAUGAAAAACAUAUAGAAAACUAAAAAGGAAAGAAAAAGUAAGAACAAAUAGAAGCAAGAAAAAACAAUGAAGAGAAUUCAAAAGAAAAAAAAAAGUAAAACAAAAAAGGAAUAUGCAUGAGAAGAAAAAAUAAAAAUAAAAAAUAAAAAAAUAAAAACAUAGAUCAAAGAAAAAUAUAAUUAUAAAAUACAAAUAAAAAAAUAAAAACAUCACUAACAAGGAUAAAUAUAUAGAACAAAUAAAAAGUAAAUAAUUUAAAUAAGGGUUGGAAAAAGGGAAAAUAACAAUGAAAAACAUAUAGAAAACUAAAAACGAAAGAAAAAGUAAGAACAAAUAGAAGGAAGAAAAAACAAUAAAUAGAAUUCAAAGAAAAAAAAUAAAAUUAGAACAUGCACAACGUGUGAAUAUAAAAAAAUAAAAGAGUGAAAAAUAAAAAAAGAAACAUAAAAAAUAUAAGAAUAAUAAAAUAAUAAAAAAGACAUAAAAUAAAAAAUGAGAAAAGAAAUAAAAAAGAGGAACUAACGCAACCACCAACAAGUUAGGAGUUUAGGACUUAAUAAGAAAACAAAUAAGAAGAAGAAAGAAGAAAAAAAGAAACAUACGUACAGGAACGUACGUCGCUUCGCUUAGGUAGGUGUUGUUAUGUGUUGAGACGCGUGCAAGAAUCAUCGGACCACGUCUUUCGUCUGAAUGUUCGGACAGAAAGAGUCCAGAGACAUACCGGCCGUUCCGAGAAUAUGAGUUCGUCAUCUAAAUUCAGCAAUGAGGCUGAUUUAGUAAUAAAUCUACUAAUUAUUAGCUAGAGGCUCCUAACUAUUAAUUCUAUUAGCUGAUUUGGUUGUUAAUAGAUGCUAAUACUUUAUAUAUACAUCUUUAACUCACUAUAUCCAACCACCUAUUAGCAGGUGAAUUUAUAAGAUCUACUAAAAAUUAACUACCUAAAAAGUUACAGUAUUAGCUAUUAGUGAUCGAGUAAAUUCUUAAUAUUAUAUAUUGGGUCCAAACAUGCCUUUAGCUAACAUAUAUAUCUGUCAUUAAAUCUUCUCGUUCUUUAUUUCUCCCUUGGCAAAGCGCGCACGUCCACCAGACUCCUUUGUCUUCCCACCUAUGGAGACCUCGGCUGCUAGGUGUGUUGCUGGCACCAACGAUAGCUAGAAUAAAGGUCUGUUUGGCAGGGCUCCUCUUCAGCUCCGACUCUGACUCCUCUAGAGAAGUCUUGCCAAACGUUGUUUUGGAGAAGCCGUUUUUAAGUGAAAAGCAGAGAAGCCAGAGCCGUUUUGGUAAAGCCAUAAAUUAUGGCUUCUCCAAAACAGCUCUAUCGACGAACUCGCUACUGCAUCAGACAAGAAAACGCUGGAGAAUGGUGGAAAACUGGGAACUCUCGUGGUUGGAGAACAACGGCUUCAAGUGGAGUGGAGGGCAGUGGCUUGAGGGGAGCUAGAGUCCAAAGGGUGGCGCAGGGAGGGGGACGCGUUUUUUGACCUGUGUACAUGCUCAGCAGCUACUAUCCUGGCCAUUUAAACAACUUUGAGAUAUGUGCAGCAGGAGAGAGAGAGUGCAAAACAAAAGUGUUGAACAUAGGAGAGUGUGUACAUUGCAGCACGAAUUUUAAAGCAUUUUUAAAUGGUAGGAGAUAAGCACAACUGAGCAGGCACAAGCUACAAUACAUUAUCACAGGCAGCUCCGGGCCUCCGGCUAACUCAUACUCUCAUAGCGGUAGAUAGCGGCGGCUUUAGUGGAGUGCUCUUGAGAGCAAUGGAGGGAGCGACUCUAACAAACUUGUGGUGUUAGAAGGAGCGGCUCCGUUGAACUCGCUGUGGUGGACACCGGUAUCCAAGGACAGGACCGCGAGAGGGAGAAAGGAGGUGGAUGAGGAGGAGAAAGGUGAUAAAGAGACCCACACUGGUUUUCAAUCUAAUGACCAAAAAAAUCUAACAGAGAGACAGGCCAUCUAAAUCUAUUGGUAGAUGUAGCAAUUUCUAAUAGUUCUAGGCUCUCUUUUAAUUUGAAAUGAUAUUAUGUAGAUACUAUUUUAGAAAAGGUGCAAUAAAGUAUAGACAAUGUUAUUGUCAUAACAAAAAAAACCUGACCUGCAUUUCUCACGCAGGUCGAGAAAACCCUUGAACCUUUGGCUCAUCCAUGCACAGCGGCAUCGCAGCUCCCGUGAGACUGGGUUGGUCUUAGACCUGUGCUUUGGCGUGGGGCAGACGAGAGGAUAUUUUCAACACGGACAUAAAUUGCGCCUCAUUUGGCCAAAAUAUCCACCCUGAGAGGGUUCAAAUUGUGACCGACAUGGUGCAAAGCGUACAGCUAGACCAAUUGGUCUAGCAUUAAACUUAUAACUAGCUAGGAUGAGGCUUUUUUAUUAAAUAAAAAAAUUUGGUUGAGACAACACGUUCAAAUUUAAUUGCUCAUGAGUUAGCUCAAUUAGCAAAGAGAAUGUGCAUUGUGAUGUGCGGCAAUUAAGUCUUUUGCCAGACUCCUUGUUGGGUCCUAAAAUUGCUUCAUACCUUGUAUUUCAGGCUUUUUUUAAAAAAUAAAUCAGUUGAGAUAACACGUUCAAUUGACUUGCUCCUGAGUUAGCUUAAUUAGCAAAGCGUGGUGCAUUGUGAUGUGUGAGGUAAUUACGUCUUUUGCCAGACUCUUAUUGGAUCCUAAAAUUGUUUGAAUGCCUUGUAUUUCACGAUAGAAGGAGUAUAUUGUAGGCAGAGGUGUGGUGACAAAUAUUCACCGGUAGGUCAAAUGGCCGAACCUAACAGCUACUCUAUGAUAUACAAAGUGUAGUUUUAUAAGCCGCAGAUGUGCAAAACCAUGGUUUAGAACAAAAAUCUCAAGAGGAGUUUCUAAAACUCCAAAAAUAACUGCAGUUUAUGUAACAAUACUAUAUAUGUAGCUUUUAAAACUAACAGGUUCGGUAAAUCCAAACACCCUGAAGGUUUGAACAACCUACAAAACUGUACUAUUUUUUCCAAUACCUAAAAAAACUUCACAUCCAAACAUACUUACUCUGUGUGUGUGUGUUUGGGGGACACGAUAUAUGAUUGGUAGUAUCAUCAUGUUAGCUUACCAGUUCACCAUAGGUGACGGUAGGGGGGGUGGGGGGGGGACACGAUAUAUGAUUGGUAAUAUCAUCAUGUUAGCAACGCUAAAAGUACUUGGCAUCCUAAGAUUUUUGUCAAAAUCACAAAAAAACAGCCUCCAACAAGUUAACAAAACUACUUGGCAAUUUUGUGAGCUUGGCAAAAUUUUCCCUUCACUUGGCAAAUAUGUCAAGUCCUCCAUCACUUGGCAUUAUGUGUAUCCCAAUUUGCCAACUAGUUUUGCCAACUUGUUGGAAGCUCAAUUUUAUGAUCUUGGCAAAAAUCCUAGGAUGCCAAGUUCUUUUGCCAAGUCCAAAUAACAAAUUGUUGGAGAAGAUUUCUUUUUUCACUUGACAUUUUGUUUUGAGACUUAACAAAACUAUAGAUUUGCCAAGUGAGUUUUAGCAAACUAUUGGAGUUCCUUACCAGUUCACGACGACGGUAUCAAAGCAAAAUUCUGCGAUACAAUAUUGAUGCUUGCAAGUCAUGCCCCCAAAAGAUUACUCCCAUCUUUCUUACUUUCUUCGUCUCCUGAUUGGUAAUCUCUAGGAACUGUAUUUUGAUUUUAAUAAAUUCACAGUAGGGGGCAACCCCUUCUGAUUCCCUCAAAAAAAAAAGAUUACUCCCACUAGUCAUAGAUUCUUAACACUUUGAUUGACAUCUGAUCAUUUUUUUAAAAAAAAUUACCAUCAAUAGUUUCCAAAAUAUCUAGUUUGAAAAAAAAAUAUUAUAUACGGAGAAUAUAUAAGUUUUUCAUGUGACGGAGAAUAUGUUGCUAAAAAGGUCAAAAUUUUGAACAUGUACCAAGAAAAAUGGCAGUUUGCACGCACUUGAGCUUAUCGAGCGAGAAGUAAUUUAUAGCCAUGGUCCACGGUCAUGCCUCGGUUUCAAACUGGCAGGAAUAAACCAUCGGCGUUCCAAAAAAAAAAAGAAUAAACUAUCGGCGGCAGCGGCGAGAUCCCAGGAUUUGACUUAACUAAUUAGCGGCAAUAAUUGCAGCGGUUUCUUUCUGGACAUCUAGAAGGACGAAAUUUCUAGAACAAUAGCUUGAAACCAGUUCAGAUUUAUGCUGUGGAGAAAGACGCCAAACCUAUAGUGCCGGCUUGGAACAGAGUAAUAGAAAAUAAAAAGAAAAGAAAAAUAUAGGAAUAAUAAGAUAGAAAUGUAUCCGCAAAAUAAAAUAGAGAAAUGGGGAAAAACUAUACAAAUUGGUGUCUGGAAUGGAGGAACCAAAAGCACAAGAAAAAGAGUUCACUAGAAAAGCAUGCGCAUUUUUUAAUAAGGUAACCAUUAGUGAAGUACUGAAAGAACAUACGACUGUGUGGAGUACUCUACUAUACAAGCAUAUGCUGUAUUUUUUAAUCUAUGCUGCAUUUUUUAAUCUAGUUCUAACUUUUACCUUUCCGAUGGAUAUAGAGUUGCCAAAGCAAACUGAUUUGACAAACUUAUUUUUUGUUCACUACUCUUGAUUCGAGAAUGAUAUAAAGGUUGAUGUACCAAAAACAAUCCUGAGGCACUCACCAUUUACUAUACUAUCCUAGUACUAGUUUAUUAUUGGAUUCUUUCAUUGUCUUACCUAAUUUUAAUAAGAAUGGAUGUAAGAGCAUAUGUAGUGGUGCUUCUCCUUCUUCUUCCUCUCUUCUCUCACCCAUGGUGUGUGUUCUGCUCUCUCCUUUCUCUCAAAGCAGCAACAGCUCUUCUAGGGAAUGGAGGCUAGGGUUUUCUCUCUUUUAUCCUUCCUAGCAUCAGUCUCAACCGUCGAUUCAGGAGCAACUCAACAGUGCACAAGCACUAGGCUUGUGGGCUGUUAUGUUGGGCUCAAUUUCAUCCUCCAUGUCAAGGGAUAGCCCAACAAACUCUCCCUCCCAACAUCAUGGAGGGUCUGCCUCCCGGCAGUCAUGCCAGUGAGCCAAGAACAAACCUGGAGCUUUCCUCUUGUCAUCACCUUAGUCAACAUAUCCACCCUGUUAUCAUUGGUGUGAACUUUCUCAAGUUGCAUUUGCUUAGAAUUCAACACAUCCCGUAUCCAAUGAUAACGGACAUCAAUAUGUUUUGAUCUUGAGUGAAAAACAUGCAUGCUUACUCAAGUAAAUAGCACUUUGGUUGUUACAAAACAACACAUACUUGUCUUGAUUAAACCCAAGUUCACAAAUAAACUUUUUAGCCAUAGUAGCUCUUUGUUCGCCUCUAUCGCUGCAAUGAAUUUAGCUUCAGUUGUGGACAAUGCAACACAUUUCUACAACUUGCUUUGCCAUGACACAACUCCCCCUGCAUAGGAGAUCAAAUGCCCUAAAGUAGAUUUUCUAGUGUCAACAUCCCUAGCCCUGUGUAUGCAACAAACAUAGGAUCACCUUUCCCAAAAUAAAGUUUUCGAUUAAUGUUGUCCUAGAGGUACUUCAAAAUCCACUUCACGGCUUCUCAAUGUGGUCAUUCUGGAUUGGACAUAAAUCUGCUCAUAGUACUAACCGCAUGAGCAUAAUGUCAAGCCUUGUACACACCAUAGCAUACAUAAUACUUCCAACUACUGAGGCACAAGGGACAUUCUGCAUUUCCAUCUUCUUUUCAUCAGUAGAAGGCCAUUGCUUGGUGCUUAACUUGGAAAUGAGCUGCAAGUGGAUAGCUCAUAGCUUUUGCAUCGAUUGUCCAUCCUAAACUUGUAAAGUACUUUCUUAAUAUACUUCUCUUGAGACAAGUAAAACUUGUUCGAACUCUCUCAAUUCUCAUCCCGAGAAUUAGCUUUGCUGGCCCCAAGUCUUUCAUGGCAAUGGACUUGCUCAACUUUUUUUAGCUCUGCAAUUCUAUAUAUACUUUUACCAAUAAUCAGUAUAUAUAUCAUCAAUAUAGAGCAACAUGAUGAUAAAAUCAUCACCUCAGAACCUCUUAAUGAACACAUAAUAGUUUGAGCUACUCCUUUUGUAGCCUUGCUCCCCCAUAACUGGAUCAAAUGUCAAGUACCAUUGUCUUGGUGCUUGUUUCAGGCCAUAAAGACUCUUUUUCAACCUAAACCCAUAGUCUUCUUGCCUUUCACAAGAAACCACUUAGGUUGCUCCAUGUAGAUCUUUUCCUCCAAAUCACCAUGAAGAAAGGUUGUCUUCACAUCCAUUUGUUCAACCUCCAAGUUGAGACUAGUUGCCAAGCCAAGGACCACUCUAAUCGAUGUCAUCUUGACCACCAGAGAAAAGAUCUCAUUAAAGUCAACACCUUUUCUCUGGCCAAAUCCUUUCACAACAUGCCUGUCCUUGAACCUUGGAUGUGACGUGUGCUCUUCUUGCUUGAUUCUGUAGACCCACUUGUUUUUAAAAGAUUUCUUGCUCUUGGGACACUGUGCUAACUCAUGUAUAUAUGAUUCUUAUGCAAGGAAUUCUUGCAUAGAUUUCAUCCACUCCUUCUACUGAUCUUCCAUUGCAUGUGCAAAACACUCUAGUCUAAACCAUCAAAUAGUAACACCACAUAUUGAUCUGAGGGAUACCUAGUGGAAGGAACUCAAUCUCUAGAUCUUCUAAGUAGAAUUGUUGGAGGAUCUUCUAGUACUGGUGGUUGCUGAUCUAGAUCAUCGAUUUUAGCAUUAACUCAUGUUAUUGGGGAGCAUUCUCAUCACAUGUACCAUGCACAUCAUCUACAACAUCACCUUCAACUUUGUGGAGCUAGAGCUGUAGGAACUGGGUUUAAAUCAACCAAUAUAAUGGCUCUUGCUAAGGAACCGACACCUUUAUCUUCACAAUAUCCUCAAUUGUUUGAUCUUCAAUAAAUACAAUAUCACGGCUUCUCAAAACCAUCUUUGCAAUUGGAUCAAAGAUCUUAUAUAUGAACUAAUCUAAUCCAUGGCCAAGGAAGAUGUACGGUCGUGUAUUGGCAUCAAGCUUGAGCCUUUCAUCUUGAGGAAUAUGAACAAAGGCUUUGCACCCAAACAAUUUUAGAUGGUCAUAGGAGACUUCUCUAUUAUACCAAACCCUAUUAGGAACAUCACCCUACAAAGGAAUUAAGGUGAAUACAAGCUGAACACCUAAACAAAGCUCUUGAUACCACUCUAUUGGGAUAAAAGGGCAAAAACAAUGUACAAUUAAUCCCUCAUCUUGUGAUGAAUCCUGAUGAGAACAUCUACCAUGAGAUCCAUAAUAAAAAUAAACAAUGACAUGCAUAAUGGACACAAAGAUUUACAUAGAAAAUCUCCUCAAGGUGAUGAGUAAAAACCACAGGACCAAUCGGUUCACUCCAAGCAACAUAUUUUCAAGGAGUCUUCUCUAGAGCAUCUAGAGGAUUACACUAGUAGCAACACAUUCAUCAAGUUAUAAACUUGGCAUCAACUACAAUCAUAACCUUCUAAUAAGAGGAAUAACAUCAACCAAAUAUAGAAGUCACAUAUUCUGUCCCCCUCAGUAUCAGUUCAUAUCUCAUAUAACUACAGCUCCAUUAUAUACGAAUUUUGGUAGGCAAAUAUAUCCAUGAGUCCACUAACCACUGAGCAAAUUUAAGCUCAAUCAGACACCGUUUGACUACCUAAAUAAAUCAUCUACCAAAACUGCUCUAUUCUAAAACUAUAGUGACAUGAACUGAUAAAACCUCUCUCAACUCUAGUGUUCUACUCAACCAAUCCUCAAACCAACUUAACACUGUGACGCGUCCUGAUGGUUUACGAUUCAGCAAAAUUUUAUCGAAAUCACCAAAUUUUGGUUUUCACGCUGAGUCUGAUAUUCUUUUGUAUUGGCAAUUUUUUAUUUAAUUCAUCUUUUGCCUCCCGCCCUUCAAAAAAAUUUCUACAAAACCGCGGCCAACCAUAAUAUAUAUGGACUAAGCGUGUGUUUGAUUCUAGGAUUAUCGAUGGGUUAGACCUAACCUAUAUUUUUGGAUGGGAUGAACUCAUCUCUUGUUUGGUUUAGGAGGUUAAGUUUAUUUGAGCUCUUUGUUUGAUUUUACUGGGUUUCAAGGAGUGGGAUGAGCCACUGACUGUGGGCCCCGUGUGACAGCCUCUCAGCGCCUUCUUCUACCUCGUGCGCAUCAUCUAGGCCACAUGGUCACUGGGGCUGCGCGCGGCCACCGCUGAGACACACAUGGGCUGCUCGUCGAGACUGCACAUACGUCGGCCACCACCGCACGCAAGCGUGUCGCCCCCUGCCUGCCUGCCAAGGACGCACGUAUGCCGCCACCAUGCUGCGCAAGCAUGCCACGCCUGCUUGCCUAGGCCACGCGCGGGCUGUCGCCGCACACUUCAGCAUAGUCUCACGUAGGUCAUCGUACAUGAGAAAAUGUAUGUUAAGCCGAUUUCUUCGUGUUUUAUGGAUGAGUUGAACCCGCAUCUCGGAAUAAUAUUCCCUUCUAAGAUGAACCCAACACCUUUGAACUCCAAACCCAACACUCCCGAAAGGAGGUUUGACCCAGCCCAACCCACAUUAACCCUUCAUCCAAACACACGCUAAGUAAUAUAUAUAUAUAUAUAUAUAUAUAUAUAUAUAUAUAUAUAUAUAUAUAUAUAUAUAUAUAUAUAUAUAUAUAUAUAUAUAUAUAUAUAUAUAUAUAUCUCAGACCCACAUGACCAGUUCAUUCUGCUAGUGUUUUGCUAUAUAUAGUAUUCGAUCAACAUGUGUCCAUAAGGUGGAUCCCACUCAAGAUGAAAGAAUUCCCCAUCUCCAAUCCAUUGGCCAAAACAAUGAGAGAGACAGAGAGAGGAGUAAGAAAAAGUAAGAAUGCUUGCAGAAUUGGCGAAGCCACUGCAAAUUCGCAAAUCUCUCGUAAGCGAAUGGGCAGUUGCAUUCAAAGGUUUAUUUCUAGGGCAGUACCAGAGUAGUACUUCUUGUUCCAUCAUUAGAAGUAUCAAAGCAUUAUUUCCUUUACUAUUUUUCAAUUGUCCGAUAUUGGUCUAGAAAUAUAGGAAAUACUAUACAUCGUCACGUGUCUAAUUUUUUUUUCUUUUCAUUAAGGGAAAACUCAGGACCGUUGGAUCUUCAUUACGUGGCUACAGAGUUGUCUUCUUUUUUUGUGUGGAAUAGUUGUCUUCAACCUCUAGCGAUUCAGCAUUCAAGGCUGCACAUCCUGGAGUCGACUGUGUUUAGAGAAGGAAAGGCUGGUGCUAGCUGAUCUUGGGAAUGUUAGAGAUGCGGUCCAGUUCAUCCUGGAAGCUAAGGAAGACAAGCGACUACUGAUGAUCAUCGCUAUGUGGUUUACUUGGUGUGAACGCAAUAUUAUUCGGGAAGAGGGACGGAGGCGAAGUGCUGAUUUUAUGACACGGUGCGUCAGGUGCUGUGCAGAGGAAAACACUGAAGGGUUGGGAAGGGAGUAUCAUACAAGAAUCAACAGCUGCAGAAGUGGAGCAAACCACCAAAGGGGGUCCUGAAAAUGAACUGUGAUGCCUCCUUACUUCCUAACUCAUCGUCGGGCAGUUGGGGGUUCUUGAUACGGGAUGACGAGGGCGAUGUGAUCGUCACUGGCCGAGGGAAGGUUGAUCAUCUCCUGAAUGUGUUUCAUGCUGAACUUGUAGCCUGCCUGCAGGGAAUACAAGUGGCCGUGGAUUUGGGUAUCAGUCACCUGAUUGUUGAAACAGAUGCAAAGAUGGUUGUCCAAGCAGUGUCUACCAAUGAAUUUGAUGAUUCUGUUGUGGGCCUGUUGGUGUCUGAAAUCAAGAACUUAGUUUACUCCUGCUUUCUCAGCUUUCAGUGUGUGCUUAGAAGUAGAGAGUGCAAUCAAGCUGCUCAUGAGUUAGCUAAAUUGGGUCUGUUAUGUAAUUAGGGAGAGGAGCAAAUUAUGAGCUCUAUCCCUGAAGGCGUUCAUGUAUGUGUUGCUAACGACAUGUUAGCACCUGAGUAAUGGAAUCCACACCCAGUUUUUUAAAAAAAAAAACAUUCAAGGCUGCAACACUCACCCCUGCCUCCCACCGGCCUGCCCCCAUCCACGACGACCUCCUGGCUGCUGUGUCCAACUCCACUGUCCCCCGCCGCACUAACCCAGCGUCUUCAGACCAUACCCAUGCCUCCCCUGCCCCUUCCUAGCCCAAUUCUUGUCCUCCACCGCCUCAGCUGCCAGCGACCAUGCUGCCUCGCCCUACCGCCUUGUACCCACCAUCUACAUCUGGCCGGCCUGCAUGCGUCCCCGGAGCUCCUUUAUAAGCCGUAGGGUGCAGCACCUCUAACAUUGGGAACGUUCAAUCUUGGCCGCCUGAAGGAUCGAUGUCUAGUUUUUAGACGACUGAAUUAUAGAAGAUGUGUAGAAAUAUCAUCCACGCCCUUAGUCAACUUCAUAUAUGCUUAUUAGUCAUGUGCGCACAAGUGCAUGUAGUUUUUCCUUUUCAGGUACAUUAUGAAAUAUAACAGAUGCAUUUUACCACCGCGACCACAGAUUUCCUCGUUGGUCCAAACAAAAAUUGAAAAGGCAUCCCUGCUAUCUUUUGGAUGACAUGAAGGGCAAAAAAGUUUAGAUCAAUGACACAAUACAUAGGUGAUCACUCAACUUUUUUAAUGACAUAUAUGAAAUUAUACACUUUUUAAUAGCGCGUCUACAUCAAGGAAGAGCCUAGAUACAUAUAGCACUUCUCUUACGUUUUGUAUAAUGUGGAAUGCGCACCACAAGACCACAGGCAGAACACUGUUGUUCAGUUUAUUAUUACAAAUUCUCAGAGGUUAGAUUACAAAUGUAGAGGAGCCUACUGGUCUUAGAAAGAAAAGUGCGACUCAUGAGAGGUGAGGCCCUAAAGGUACAAACGUUGGCAGCAGAGUUUGUAGGCCUUUGUUCCCUGAUCGUAUCGGUGUUGUGGCCUCCAGAAACUGCGAGGCCACAAAAACUUGUAAAUAGCUCUUGUAACUAUUAUUCUCUCCACUUAUCAAUGAAAGCCGGUAACGGAUCUUUCGAAAAAAAAAUUCUCAGAGGUUCAAGUGUAGUAAAAAAAGCAGUACAUAAGUCUUUGGUUUAUUAUAAAAGCCUUUGUUCACCAAUGCAAGCAUUCAUGGAUAGACCUCGAUGACCGAUAGAGCGCCAAGAACGGGUAGGAUUUUGUAGUCUUUGAAUCCAGCUUCAGUGAAAAUCUUCUUCCACUCUUGCUCGUCGCGCUCAGCUCCAUUAACCGUCAUAAUAUACAAAUCAAACAUGACCUGUGUCUCUAGAUGCUUUGUGUUUAGCUCCCCGUAUCCAACUACCAUGUCCAGGAUUAUUACCUUCCCUCCUGCAAUCCGUGGAGAUAUCGCUUGCCUGCAUUUCUUCAAUAUCUUGACGCAGUUGUCGUCACUCCAGUCAUGUAAAGUUGUCUGUCAUAAGUAAUCAUCAAAUUAACUAAUGGAUAGGUAAUGAAGAAAAGGAACCUUGGUGUAUGGAUUCAAAGAUAAUUCCUACACUGAUAUGCAGAUCUAAGCAUUAGAUACGGUGCGGGUGCACCCAUCGAAAAACAAAAAAGCAGUGACGGAUGUACUACCUUGAGAAAAACAGCGGUCGCAGGUGGAAUACUCUCAAACAUGUUUCCUGCGACGAACUGCACGUUGACAUCGGAUGGAGCACCGGCGACAACGUGCGGGAGGUCAAGCACGCUGCAUUUGAUGUGCGGGAAGGCAGCGGCGAUGGUGGCGGUGGCGCCACCAUGCCCA
RNAcentral lists this long non-coding RNA (15245 nucleotides) under Sorghum bicolor (sorghum). Its description in RNAcentral is "long non-coding RNA (SBIC_LNC001565)". The record is from RNAcentral. Lineage: Eukaryota; Viridiplantae; Streptophyta; Magnoliopsida; Poales; Poaceae.